Non-coding RNA from Lingula anatina, 45 nucleotides. NCBI's taxonomy places the organism in Eukaryota, Metazoa, Brachiopoda, Lingulata, Lingulida, Lingulidae. The record is from Rfam.
UUAAAGGCCCUUUUCAGGGCCAAUAAUCACACAAGAAAAGCUUUA